RNAcentral lists this ribosomal RNA (405 nucleotides) under uncultured prokaryote. RNAcentral describes it as "bacterial SSU rRNA". It matches the Rfam family "Bacterial small subunit ribosomal RNA", at positions 355 to 774 of the family's 1533-position model. The record is from RNAcentral.
UGGGGAAUAUUGCACAAUGGGGGAAACCCUGAUGCAGCAACGCCGCGUGAAGGAUGAAGGCCCUUGGGUUGUAAACUUCUUUGAUCAGGGAAGAAAGAAAUGACGGUACCUGAAUAACAAGCCACGGCUAACUACGUGCCAGCAGCCGCGGUAAUACGUAGGUGGCAAGCGUUGUCCGGAUUUACUGGGUGUAAAGGGCGUGUAGGCGGGAUCGCAAGUCGGAAGUGAAAUCCCCGGGCUUAACCCGGGAACUGCUUCUGAAACUGUGGUUCUUGAGUACUGGAGAGGAAAGCGGAAUUCCUAGUGUAGCGGUGAAAUGCGUAGAUAUUAGGAGGAACACCAGUGGCGAAGGCGGCUUUCUGGACAGAAACUGACGCUAAGAUACGAAAGCGUGGGGAGCAAACA